UCUUCCCCAUAUACCUUUGAUGCUUUUGCCUCCAUACCUUCGAGCUAGUAUUUUUUUCAAGGGUUAUCAUGUUUUUGUGGUAGUGUGACUGGCUCAGAGUUUAUAAUCAUUUGUCUUCUUCAAUGAAUGUCUGUGCUAUGAUAUUCUGUAAGGCUAGGCACACACUAAGUUGGUUAAUGCUUUUGAUCUAGGUUGUUGGGAGAUAAUGAAACAAUAAUGUUUAUCUGCUCACAAUGCCUUAUAUUGAUUGCUCUGGACAGGUAUUUUAAUCGUAAGAGAUGUCUCCAAAAAGGCAAAAACAACAAUUCACUGUUGAUUUACUUUGCUACGAUUGCUCCCAUUAGAUUGUCCUUAAAUCAUGUGCAAAGCUGAAGUAUUGUUCGCUGACUGUCAGCCUGACAGAUCAGAUGGGAUGAUGAUGCAGAGUGUUAAAAGGCCUAAUGGGUUAUCUCCUUGGUAGAUGAAGCUUGUUGGAUUGAUUUCAGGCCAUUGAAAACAGAUGACACCAUGCCUCCCCCAGUUAAUGAACAUGUGUCGCUUCCAAGUACAUACUGAAGGAUGUUCUGAGGCUAGCACCUGGUUUAGAAGUUUUGCAAUUCACAACAAUACCUCAUAAUUUUGAUUUGAUGUCCAGAAUGUCAAUUGAAGAAUGAGCCUAUGAACUGCAUUGUAUUUUGUAAUAUAUCCUUAUAUAUGGUGCUUGUGGCGUUUUGUUUUUGCAAUUAUAAGUUUACGUUUAUGGGUAUUAUAGAGUCCUUUCUUUUUCCACAAGGGGCAGUAGCCGUGCCAUUCGAUUCGAAGGACAAAGAGUUGAUCACAAAGGGGUAGCACUUAGGAUAUAUACACAAGAGUAUAGAACCAAAUUAUAUGAUGUAAUUCACCACUAUUUCUAUUAACUUCUCAUGUACAAAUGUUCACGAGUUCAUGUAUUAAGUACAUUUUAUUGUGUCA
This is a non-coding RNA of Aegilops tauschii subsp. strangulata, 951 nucleotides long. Lineage: Eukaryota; Viridiplantae; Streptophyta; Magnoliopsida; Poales; Poaceae. The record is from RefSeq and is a predicted model, not a curated record.